Molecule: long non-coding RNA, 306 nt
Organism: Scylla paramamosain (green mud crab)
Lineage: Eukaryota; Metazoa; Arthropoda; Malacostraca; Decapoda; Portunidae
Exons: 3
Source: RefSeq, a predicted model, not a curated record
GUUACGUUUAGUUAGGCUAAGUUUUCUCAUACAUAAAUCUCGUAUUUUAUUUCUACAAAUGUAUGUUUGUCUUCCUCCACAGAUGCUGGAGGGAAUAUAUCACCGCAUCUUUUCUUUCCUCCCUCACGGUGAAGGAAGAACUGCAGCACAGGAAGGUGGGCGAGUGGAGGCUACAGUGCUUGAAUUACACCAGUGUGACCAUUAAAGAGGUAAUGCUCUUUUAAAAUCCCAGUUUUGCUCUCCUUUUGUAAUCCUUGUCCAGUGUUCUUUUGUAACCAUCGUUGGCAUCACGUGACCUUCAUGUCA